GGCCACAUGUGGAAAAAGUGGUGCGAGCUGGAGAUAAUGUUACCCUGCACUGUGACUGCAAAUUGGAUAAUAUGGACAUCCAGUGGGUGAAGAGCUGCACUCCCCUGUUCCAGUCUAUGACCAUUUCAACACACAAGUCCCUUAUAGAUCCAGUGCCUCGAUUCUCUGUGGUGUGGAAUCCUGUAAAUAAAUCCACUGAUCUGAUCAUUGAGAACAUUACUGAAUCUGAUCUGGGGAUUUAUUACUGUGCUGCAGUGGAUUAUGAUAUCCGUUGUGGCCCAGAUGGAAAGAUGGCUCCGCAUAACUUGUAUCGAUUUUGUAACACCUCCACAAGGCUCUCCUAUGAAGUCAAUGUAGUUGCUGAAAAAUGUGACUGCAGUCAGUGGUGCUGGCUACUACUGAAGACUGUGUGUCCUGCCUGUGCUGUACUCUCAGCUCUGCUGUCCUCUGUGUGUGUGUUCUGCUGCUGCCGCAAGCCAGAGUCCACCAGCAAUCAAAGAAGACCCAGCAUCACUGGAGAACAGAGUGAAGCCACUCAGGUGUACUACGCCUCACUGAAGAUCCCCAAAGGCACCAGCAGACGCGUGAACAGGAAAGCCUCACUGAACCCUGACUUCAGCACGUACAGCGAGGUCAUUAAGGGACAGGGUUAGGGCUUCAUAUAUAAUGAGUACAGUAAAUGUCCAAUAAACUUAAAGGAAAAAAUAUAUAUACA
This 715-nucleotide long non-coding RNA is filed under the name Astyanax mexicanus (Mexican tetra). Its description in RNAcentral is "lncRNA (ENSAMXG00005010788.1)". Lineage: Eukaryota; Metazoa; Chordata; Actinopteri; Characiformes; Acestrorhamphidae. The record is from RNAcentral.